Molecule: ribosomal RNA, 524 nt
Filed under: uncultured bacterium
Lineage: Bacteria
Description: partial 16S ribosomal RNA
Rfam family: Bacterial small subunit ribosomal RNA
Source: RNAcentral
GACGAACGCUGGCGGCGUGCCUAAUACAUGCAAGUCGAGCGCAGGAAGCUGACGGAACUCUUCGGAGGGAAGGCAGUGGAAUGAGCGGCGGACGGGUGAGUAACACGUAAGGAACCUGCCUCAAGGAUUGGGAUAACUCCGAGAAAUCGGAGCUAAUACCGGAUAGUUCAACGGACCGCAUGGUCCGCUGAUGAAAGGCGCUUCGGCGUCACCUUGAGAUGGCCUUGCGGUGCAUUAGCUAGUUGGUGGGGUAACGGCCCACCAAGGCGACGAGGCAUAGCCGACCUGGGAGGGUGAUCGGCCACACUGGGACUGAGACACGGCCUAGACUCCUACGGGAGGCGGCAGUAGGGAAUCUUCCACAAGGGACGAAAGUCUGAUGGAGCAACGCCGCGUGAGUGAUGAAGGUUUUCGGAUCGUAAAACUCUGUUGUAAGGGAAGAACACGUACGAGAGGGAAUGCUCGUACCUUGACGGUACCUUACGAGAAAGCCACGGCUAACUACGUGCCAGCCGCCGCAGUAA